This 771-nucleotide long non-coding RNA is filed under the name Danio rerio (zebrafish). RNAcentral describes it as "microtubule associated serine/threonine kinase family member 4 (ENSDARG00000078270.4)". The record is from RNAcentral. Lineage: Eukaryota; Metazoa; Chordata; Actinopteri; Cypriniformes; Danionidae.
AAAGACACUGCAGCGAUGCGUUGAGCAGGACGCGCUUUAGUGCUGCGCUACAAACUUCACUUUAAAUGCCUGUAUGUUAUGACGUAAACAUUAAAGUCAGUUGUAAUCACAGCGGUACAGUGAGGCGAGAUCUUUCCGGCGCUCAGCUGGAGCUCAGAUCAGCUGUCCUUCAGCAUGUGAUUAGUUUUAGACAAUUAACUUGAUGUUUCAGGGCAAUGGAGAGUGAGCAGUCAAAAACAUUUGGAGGCGGCGGAGAAGAUUCAUCAGGCUCCGACACGCUGUCAGAAGGCGAGACGCGAGCAGACCACUAUGAGUCCGAAUUACGCUUUGAGGAAUUUACUCACUCCUCAGAUUUUGUAGGUCUUGACGAAAAAAUGAAAGGAACUGAUUCUGAUGAAUGCAGCGCCGAGAUAAAAGCGAUAAAUCAGGGUGGUCAGGAUGAAGGAGAAAAUGACGGGGACGAGGACGAAAUGCCGGAUAAUAUCCUCUUUCCCCCCUCCGUGUCCUUCCGCAAGUUCAGCAACCCAGAGGUUUCUUCUCUUGGCUCCAGUUUAGCACUGAAAUUCAAAAGACAACUCAGUGAAGAUGGCAGACAGCACCGGAGGGGAAGUCUAGGGGGCGCUCUUACAGGGAAAUACCUGUUGCCAUAUGCCCAGCAGUCAUGGUCAGCCUCAAGCUCGGAGACCACCAACCUUGUGCGCAUGCGCUCGCAGACCUUGGGAAAAUCUGCACCUUCUCUCACAGCCAGCCUGGUCAGUAGAGUUUAACCUG